This 453-nucleotide ribosomal RNA is filed under the name uncultured bacterium. RNAcentral describes it as "SSU rRNA". It matches the Rfam family "Bacterial small subunit ribosomal RNA", at positions 26 to 518 of the family's 1533-position model. The record is from RNAcentral.
AGAACGAACGCUGGCGGCAUGCCUAACACAUGCAAGUCGAACGUGAUCCAGGCUUCGGCCUGGUGAAAGUGGCAGACGGGUGAGUAACGCGUGGGAACCUGCCCUGUGGUAGGGAAUAACCGUGGGAAACUGCGGCUAAUACCCUAUGAGUCCUUCGGGAGAAAGAUUUAUCGCCAUAGGAGGGGCCCGCGUCGGAUUAGGUAGUUGGUGGGGUAACGGCCUACCAAGCCUUCGAUCCGUAGCUGGUCUGAGAGGAUGAUCAGCCACACUGGGACUGAGAUACGGCCCAGACUCCUACGGGAGGCAGCAGUGGGAAUAUUGGACAAUGGGCGCAAGCCUGAUCCAGCCAUGCCGCGUGAGUGAUGACGGCCUUAGGGUUGUAAAGCUCUUUCGCUAGGGACGAUAAUGACGGUACCUAGACAAGAGCCCGGCUAACUUCGCGCCAGCAGCCGC